RNAcentral lists this long non-coding RNA (829 nucleotides) under Marmota monax (woodchuck). The record is from RNAcentral. Lineage: Eukaryota; Metazoa; Chordata; Mammalia; Rodentia; Sciuridae.
UGGUGAUGUCUUACAAGCUGAGCACCGAACUGUUGAGACACGCCAGGUGUCAGUGACCAAGAAGUGGGGUAAACUGUAGUCACAUUGGUGAUUACUCUGUUCUGUAGCUAAGAAUAUGUUCCAAAAGCCAUAAGCCUGAAGGUUGGUCCUGCACGUGCAUACACACACACACACACACACACACACACCCCCCACACACAUAUGAAUGGGACUAAGAGAAAACUCAUGAAAAAAAAAAAAAAAACCAGGCCAUAUCUUCUAAACUGCCCAAGUGAAAAGCAAUCAAGUCUGAAAAUUGACAUUAGCUGUUAAGGAAGGAAAUAAUGGUACAGAUUCUUUUUCUGUCUAUCAAAACCAUUUGAUUCAAGUGAAAUUAAAAAAAAAAAAAAAGCUACCAAACCUGCCAGUAGUAGUGUGGUAUAUAAAGGCACAUUGAUGGACACACUUCAAAAGUAAAACAUGGCAAAUAAUAAUAAUAAUAAGAAGAAGAAGAAGAAGUAACUCCUAUACUGCCCUCAAAAAGGAGCCUGCAAUUAAUGUCAGUCAAUAUUCAUCUUUGCAAAAAAAUCUGAUUUCCACAUUCAGCCAGUGUAGCCAGCAGAAAUUUCUGAUCCACAAUGCAUGGAUUCUUUUAAAGAAAAAAAGAAAAAAAAUCGUAAAAAACAAAACUUUUUUUUUUAAUUCAAAAAUAAUAAAAGUUCUUGUAAGGUAAAUAAUGUAUUUAGCAUGAAGCAUGAAGCAUGAAUUAUUUUCAUAUAAAUAUAGAAAACAGAGAAAAGGCUAUGCCUCUAAUUUUUAAGCCCUUAGGCUUAGAGGUUCUUUGUUUUCC